UUUUCUUUCUAUACUGCCGCGGAAAACUCCAUAUGUCUUUCCUUUCUUUCUUUGCUGCCGAAGCUUUUCAAUGGGUAAGAAGAGAUCCAACAAAUGCAUGCAUAAAAAAUACAUGGGUGUUGCUGUUAAUCAAAUAAACGAUCUCAUCUUUCACAUCAAAAACAUUACAGUAUCAACAGGUUUCUCAACGUUGAGAGGGGAGCAACGGUGACAUGUGGAGAAACUUUCUUUCUUCAAAAUAAAUCUUAAUAUGUUCCCCUAAAUGUGGAGAUUAUUUUCAAUUUUAAAAACGAAAAACUCCACAGAGUUUAUACCAAUUAAUUAAAUCAUUCUAAAUAUAGUAGGAUAUUAUGAAUUUUAAAUAUUAAAUCAUGUUAAAUUAACUGUUAUACUAAGUAUCUCCAUAUGAAGAUAUUCUCCAUCGGAAGAAGAAGCAUGAAAGAAGAAGCAUGUGAUGUUAAGAAGAUCUUCCCACUACAAAGUUUCUGAAUAUUAUUUUUAUUUUCAAUUUUGAAAGACAAAAA
Long non-coding RNA from Vigna angularis (adzuki bean), 524 nucleotides. RefSeq lists it as uncharacterized. The transcript has 3 exons. Lineage: Eukaryota; Viridiplantae; Streptophyta; Magnoliopsida; Fabales; Fabaceae. The record is from RefSeq and is a predicted model, not a curated record.